RNAcentral lists this long non-coding RNA (1578 nucleotides) under Parus major (Great Tit). RNAcentral's name for it is "lncRNA (ENSPMJG00000013979.1)". Lineage: Eukaryota; Metazoa; Chordata; Aves; Passeriformes; Paridae. The record is from RNAcentral.
GUCAAUGACCUGGAGAUACAUUCUAUGUUUAGGGAGUUGGCUGUAUUUAAAUGGGGCUUAAAGUUGUCACACCUGUAAUUGAACUGUUUCAAUGCAUUUUGUCUGCACAAUCAGGUUCCAGGUAAUCUAUGGUCCUUCAAAACAAGUAAGAAAGUGCAUGCAAUUCCUUAAGAGGAGCUUGCUAUAUAUAUGAAAGCAGAUUCAGGAUGUUAUUUCCAUUACUUAAUUGCUUUAGACCUUUGUUUUCUCUGUCCCUCCUUAAAUUUUUACAAGUUAUCUCGAGGAAGGACCUUCCAGUGCUGUUCCUGGCAGAGGGAUACAAUGAGAGCUGGCAUGAUUUCAUGUGCCCACCACUGACAUCGACCCUCAGCACCCUGAGCAUGACAAGAGAUAUGUGCAAAGCCCAGGAGCUCCAUCCAACCUACCCCAAUCCCACUCCUCCUGCCCCAGGGCAGGCAGGAAAAACCUUUGAAAAGGAUAUUGAAGAGUGCACGAAUUCCUGCAGCACCACUUGGGAGUCACAGCAGUGCAUCCCCCCGAGCACACUGCAGGGCAGAAAGCAAAUAAAAUCCCAGUAAAGGUAAGUCUGGGAGAGCAUUUUUAAUCCAGAACAUCUCUCUUUUCUUUUCCCCACCUGUACACCAAAUUCAGCAGUGGAGUGGUGGGAAUACUUUGUCAUCACAAACAUAUAUUAUUUCUGUGAUGUGUGUUAGUACAUUGUAAUGAAAAUGUGUUUUCCAAAGGCACAGUUGCUUUUUUUCCCCUUUGCUGUCACUGUAACACUCUUCACCAAGAUAAAAGGUUUCCUUCCCAUCUCCCUCCAAGAAGAAAAUAUAAAACCUGAGUAAUGGGAAUGACAGAACUCAUGUAAUUGCUCCUGCUUUGCAUGAUUCCAGACUGAUUGCCUGAACUAUGACUGAUCCAGAUUCCCACUGAAGUCUGUGAGGGUUUUUGCUCUGAAACAGCAGUUUGGUUUUGGAGGAGCAUUUUUGAGGAGCAAACCCAAACCCAGGUGAGUGGAAGCAGCAUUGCCACGUGGUUCUGAUGGAAUGAAGACAAUUUAACCCUGUUGAGGAUGAGGCUUGGUGGCUUCACGGCUCAUAAAUGCUGACUGCUGCUGCAUUUGGGCAUAUUUACCAAUUUUUUUUUAUUUAGAGGUUAGAAAUAUAUAUAUGGAAUUUCUGAGGCUGAGCAAAUGCACAUCACCCCCUUGUAUUCAUACACAUGUAACCCUCCUUUGGUCAUUUCAGCGUUACAUUAUUUGAGAAUAUUUUCCUCUUCAAAAACAUUGAAACUGUAUUUUUUUUGCAAGUGGUGCACAGGUUGGAAUACCCAGCCAUUUCUGGGCCUGGCAGUGAUAGAGACUUUUGACUUGCAAACCCUCUUGGUUAGGCAGCUUGUACCAAAAUGGGUGUAAUUAUGUGUGCCCAGGUAACAGGCUUUUUUAUGUAUUUGCUUAGCAGGAAUUUUUGCAGAUGACCAGCUAAUUCAUUGUAACAGGAUGACUUUUGGGCUAGACCAACAUAACAUUUAUAUUUUCAAAUGAGGCCUUUCUGUCCCUGCAGAGGAGAAUUCAUG